Molecule: ribosomal RNA, 608 nt
Filed under: uncultured Penicillium
Lineage: Eukaryota; Fungi; Ascomycota; Eurotiomycetes; Eurotiales; Aspergillaceae
Description: eukaryotic LSU rRNA
Rfam family: 5.8S ribosomal RNA (bases 206-359)
Source: RNAcentral
UCCGUAGGUGAACCUGCGGAAGGAUCAUUACUGAGUGAGGGCCCUCUGGGUCCAACCUCCCACCCGUGUUUAUUGUACCUUGUUGCUUCGGCGGGCCCGCCCUUGUGGCCGCCGGGGGGCUUACGCUCCCGGGCCCGCGCCCGCCGAAGACACCCACGAACUCUGUAUGAAGAUUGCAGUCUGAGUGAAAAUAUAAAUUAUUUAAAACUUUCAACAACGGAUCUCUUGGUUCCGGCAUCGAUGAAGAACGCAGCGAAAUGCGAUACGUAAUGUGAAUUGCAGAAUUCAGUGAAUCAUCGAGUCUUUGAACGCACAUUGCGCCCCCUGGUAUUCCGGGGGGCAUGCCUGUCCGAGCGUCAUUGCUGCCCUCAAGCACGGCUUGUGUGUUGGGCCCCGUCCCCCGAUCCCGGGGGACGGGCCCGAAAGGCAGCGGCGGCACCGCGUCCGGUCCUCGAGCGUAUGGGGCUUUGUCACCCGCUCUGUAGGCCCGGCCGGCGCUUGCCGAUCAACCAAAUUUUUAUCCAGGUUGACCUCGGAUCAGGUAGGGAUACCCGCUGAACUUAAGCAUAUCAAUAAGCGGAGGAAAAGAAACCAACAGGGAUUGCCCC